CGGGAUGUAGUAUACCGGUAGUACGCGCGCUUCGGGUGCGUGAAGACAGGGUUCGAUUCCCUGCAUCCCGACCA
This 74-nucleotide transfer RNA is filed under the name Pseudomonadota bacterium. Its description in RNAcentral is "tRNA-Pro". It matches the Rfam family "tRNA". Rfam says of the family: Transfer RNA (tRNA) molecules are approximately 80 nucleotides in length. Their secondary structure includes four short double-helical elements and three loops (D, anti-codon, and T loops). Further hydrogen bonds mediate the characteristic L-shaped molecular structure. tRNAs have two regions of fundamental functional importance: the anti-codon, which is responsible for specific mRNA codon recognition, and the 3' end, to which the tRNAs corresponding amino acid is attached (by aminoacyl-tRNA synthetases). tRNAs cope with the degeneracy of the genetic code in two manners: having more than one tRNA (with a specific anti-codon) for a particular amino acid; and 'wobble' base-pairing, i.e. permitting non-standard base-pairing at the 3rd anti-codon position. Lineage: Bacteria; Pseudomonadati; Pseudomonadota. RNAcentral also lists the same sequence under 3 other names. The record is from RNAcentral.